This 358-nucleotide unclassified non-coding RNA is filed under the name soil metagenome. Its description in RNAcentral is "partial contains 5.8S ribosomal RNA, internal transcribed spacer 2, and large subunit ribosomal RNA". The stretch from base 1 to 120 matches the Rfam family "5.8S ribosomal RNA", at positions 35 to 154 of the family's 154-position model. The record is from RNAcentral.
GAUGAAGAACGCAGCGAAAUGCGAUAAGUAAUGUGAAUUGCAGAAUUCAGUGAAUCAUCGAAUCUUUGAACGCACAUUGCGCCCGUCAGUAUUCUGGCGGGCAUGCCUGUUCGAGCGUCAUUACGCCCCUCAAGUCCCCUGUGGACUUGGUGUUGGGGAUCGGCGAGGCUGGUUUUCCAGCACAGCCGUCCCUUAAAUUAAUUGGCGGUCUCGCCGUGGCCCUCCUCUGCGCAGUAGUAAAACACUCGCAACAGGAGCCCGGCGCGGUCCACUGCCGUAAAACCCCCCAACUUUUUAUAGUUGACCUCGAAUCAGGUAGGACUACCCGCUGAACUUAAGCAUAUCGAUAAGCGGAGGA